ACCGUUAAUUGGCAAACGAAUCGGAGCCACGAAGUCGUUUCGCUGGUCAAUCCAAGUUCAGUUUGGGAUAGCAAUAUCUCGGGCGUAUUCUUGUUGGUUGGCCAUUGUAAGCGUACACUGCAACCAGUUAGACAAUUGGCGAUGGGCCAAGUUGGGUAGAAGCCUCGGUGACUACUUAACGAAGUGCUUGUUUGCUCUAACUAGUAGUGAUAUUGUGUUUCUUCGGGAACAUGGUGUUGCUGGGUUAGAGUAAGUGAACUAUCACCAAAUACUGACUGGCACAAUGAAACUUGCUCUUAUGAGCGUGAUACACAAUGCGGCUACUCGUGUCUAAUGUCUACACAGUCAACCGUAGGGUUUAAGUUCGGCAUUUUUGAAUUUGGGCUUGCUUUCUACCAGUGGGGCAACUCCUGGUGUUGGUAUUGUCACCAUCUAAUCGGGUGUCGACUUGAUUUUGCGUUGUUUGGAUGUGCUACGAUUGGAUGUUAGAUCGAAGUGGUUUGCAAUUGAUUGGCAGUGAGUAGGUCGGCUUUCCGAACGACCCGUCUUGAAACACGGACC
This 561-nucleotide ribosomal RNA is filed under the name Phyllocoptes fructiphilus. RNAcentral describes it as "partial large subunit ribosomal RNA". Lineage: Eukaryota; Metazoa; Arthropoda; Arachnida; Trombidiformes; Eriophyidae. The record is from RNAcentral.